This 23-nucleotide microRNA is filed under the name Corchorus olitorius. RNAcentral describes it as "mtr-miR520". RNAcentral also lists the same sequence under 1 other name. The record is from RNAcentral. Lineage: Eukaryota; Viridiplantae; Streptophyta; Magnoliopsida; Malvales; Malvaceae.
CAUAUAAUAUGGGACGGAGGGAG